CAUAUGGGAGAAAAGGGGAGGGAUAAAUGUUUCUCAACUUCCCUCUCAACUUCCCUAUUCUGUUCUCACCACUUCUCUCAUUUUUUUAAUUCCACAAUUACCCUCUGCUCUUUCACCAAUUAAAUACAUUUUUUAUGAAGCGGCCUCACAGUUUUCCCUUACAGCAUUUACGUCGGAGCUGCAGAAAAACCGCUGUAGCGCCUGCUGAGCACGCUUGCACUGCAAACAGUAAGGAAAAGAGGCACAUGGAGAUACAGCUACAGCUAGAGAUGUGAAAGUCCACUUCAGGAGGCGACUGACUGCUGCAUUUGCAUACAAAAGGCUGAAGGAAAAAAAGUUGUCCAGUAAUGUAGUGAACUUCCCAGUCAGAGACUGAAACACAGAGGAGGUGGUGUGGAGGAGCAUAUGUCUGGAGGCAUCACAUGAUGCAUGAAGUAGCAUGUUGUAAUCGCUGGACUCAUCACAUUAGUAAGGGCCUAAAAUGUUUCCCAAUGACUGUUUUGUCAUAAAUGCCACUUGUACAUGGAACUGAAACAUUGAAGAAGGAAAAAAAGUCCUGAGUGAAGAAUUGCAACUGCAGUGCUUUGUAGGCCAGAUGACAACAUUAUAGUAAGAAAAUACAUUUUUAAGAUACCCAUCAAAUUUUAGGCCAUUGCUUCAAAAAAAUUAAGGUGUUGGAUUUUUUUUAACCCCUCUUUAACCUUAGAGAUAUUUGAUUGUUCUGUGUCUUUAAUUCUUUUAAAGUCUGACAAGUAUAGAAUUCCCUUGGAGUGUUAUCCAGGUCUCAAUGAGUGUGGACAGAAGAAAAUGCCCAGACGUUUAUAAAUUGCAAUUGGAUUUCAAAUUGAUUACAGGUACAAAGAAAUGGUCCAAUAGAACAACAGCGGUGUGACAUUGAGCAAGUGCUUGUAUAAUACUAGAUCAGCAGAUAUAUGAUUUAUGUACCCAUGUGUUGCUACUUUGCAAUGUAAAACAAACAAUCACAGUUUAUUUCUGAGAGUAUUUUACAUAUACAUUAUGGAGGUAAACAUGAAAAAGAACGUACAUAUAAUUUCAUUUAUUGCUUUAUUUUGUAGGGAUUUUCAACACACCAUUUCCACUCAAUUUUGGUUCUGAUCCCUGUUUGGGCCAGUUGACUCUUAUGAAAUAGGACAGUGACAGAGGACCCUCUUUUUAGCACCCAAAUAAGUUGCGCAUGAAAAGACCAUUACUGCAAAAGCACAAAAAGGGGAAGGAGACGAAACAACCAGAAGGGAAGUAGGUCAUUUCCCUUCAUGGUGACGGCAUGUGUCAGACUUUACCCACCAGGGAGACUUUUCGUACCCCAUUUGAUAAUUGUCUAACAACCGCUAACUAAUGUAAGGCAACGGACUCUUGUAUGAACUUUUCACAUUAAAAAUAUACCAUUGACUAAAUUAUAGGUGAAAUAUUGGCAUUUUUUACAAUCAUUAAUCUAAAAAAUCCUGAAAAUAUAAAGUAUAACAAAGUUCAACUCAUAAGCUCUGGGUAAAGUACAUUUGUAUGAAAUGGUUUGUCUUUUAUAGGAAAUGGAAGUUAAAGGGGACAAAAGAGCAACUCCUAAAUGUAAAAUGGAUGUGUGAAUGGGCAAAUGACAGAACAGGCCUGGAGUUGACCAGGGCCGUUCUUUUUGUUUUGACUGCCAAAGCAUUUUCGCUCAAACUGGUAAACUGUUGCUAUCUUAACACCUUUUGUGUAAAGCAUCAAUUCAGAAUUUUGAAUGACCUGAAUAAAUAGAGACACUUCAUAUUGGGGGUGGAAGCAAGACACAUACUAUCAACUAAAUAAUUGUGAGCACCAGAGUUAGUUAUCCUUUUGUAUGUUUUAUUUAUUAAAAAAAUAUAAAAACACUCAGCCUUGCCAUAGACAAAAAGUUGUAUUUCAUUAUAUUUUGUAGAAGCCUGUGAUUUUAUGGCCAUGAAAUCUAGAGGAAUGCAAUGAUUGAUUGAUAGAAUGUUGUGUUUGUUUUUAAUUUGGUGUUCGACUGGAAUAUUCUAACAUAAAUAUGCUUUCAUCUAAAGCAUUCCUUGUAGCUCUGGAUGUGUGUUUAGAGUUGUUGAUCUGCUGAAAGGUGAACCUCCACCCUAGGUCUUUUGUAGCCAGUAACAGGUUUAUUUUUACAAUUACCCUGUUUUUAGCUCCAUGCUUCUUCCUGUUACCUCAAACCAGCAUCCCUGUCUACACUGCAGAAAAGCAACCGCACACCAUGAUACUGCUGCCAUGUUUUACUGUGGAGAUAGUAUUCAGGUUGAUAUGCAGUGGUAGUUUUCCACCUCAAAUAAAAGUUUGAAUGUAGACCAAGAAGUUAAAAUUUUGUCUCAUCUAAGCAGAAAUCCUUCUCCUACAUGUUUGCUUGCAGCAAGUCUCUUAAACUAGAGAUUUUUCAGAUUUUUCCUUAGAAAAUGUUUAAGUACUGUAGAAUACAUUCCAGUUUGCAGUUCUAACUUGACAGAAUCCAAUAAUCGUAAGGAGGAAUCAAGUCUUUGUAAUUCUAUAACAUUGGCUUGAUUUUUGGACCAAUAUGGUACACCAAAGAAGAACCGCAGCUGUUAAACACAGACUUCUUGUCAGCAAAAUUGUGAAACUGCACUUUGAAAAUGUCUGCUUAAACAGAAAAAAUCUGUUAAAUAUGCAGUUACCCCAGACUCAUCUUCGUAUGUGGUAUUGAGGAAUGUUGCAUGGCAAGAAUGAGAUUACCAUAUUGAAAAUCCACAGAAUAACACUGCUAAUAGCUUUGUGGUGACAUCAGAAUAACCUUUAAAAUUUUAAGAAGAAAGACAUUUUCCCUUUAAAAUCA
Girardinichthys multiradiatus is the source of this 2815-nucleotide long non-coding RNA. RefSeq lists it as uncharacterized. The transcript has 2 exons. NCBI's taxonomy places the organism in Eukaryota, Metazoa, Chordata, Actinopteri, Cyprinodontiformes, Goodeidae. The record is from RefSeq and is a predicted model, not a curated record.